RNAcentral lists this transfer RNA (79 nucleotides) under Bacillus anthracis str. Tsiankovskii-I. Its description in RNAcentral is "tRNA-Ile". It matches the Rfam family "tRNA". Rfam says of the family: Transfer RNA (tRNA) molecules are approximately 80 nucleotides in length. Their secondary structure includes four short double-helical elements and three loops (D, anti-codon, and T loops). RNAcentral also lists the same sequence under 8 other names. Lineage: Bacteria; Bacillati; Bacillota; Bacilli; Caryophanales; Bacillaceae. The record is from RNAcentral.
UGGGCCUAUAGCUCAGCUGGUUAGAGCGCACGCCUGAUAAGCGUGAGGUCGAUGGUUCGAGUCCAUUUAGACCCACCAU